RNAcentral lists this long non-coding RNA (3843 nucleotides) under Mus musculus (house mouse). Its description in RNAcentral is "expressed sequence AI413391". The record is from RNAcentral. Lineage: Eukaryota; Metazoa; Chordata; Mammalia; Rodentia; Muridae.
AGCCUUGGGGAAAGAGCUGGGCUUGGAGAGGAAGAAGGGGUCCUGGCCCAUUCCCUUGGAGUCCACCAGGUCCGUGGGCACGUACUCCUUGACGGAGCCUACCACGAUCCAUUUAAGCAGCAUGAGGCUGAGCCCCAGGCCGAUGAAGCCGAUGAACAGAGGCACCACGCACAACCACGUCUGCUGCCGGUUCCACACGAUGCAGUCGCUACAGCGUAACUCCCGGGGAGGUUCGGCCGCCCCUUCUCCGCCGCCGUCCGGGCCCCCGCCCGCCGCCGCCGCCGCCGCAGCCGCCGCGGUGCCCUCCUCGGCUGAGGCGGCGGCUGCCGAAGCGGCACCAGGUGGCGAGGCACCGGCCGCCCCUUCACUCAUCCUAGGAGCCGAUCUUCACCUUCGCCCCCCCGAGGGCCGCGCCAGAGGCAUGGGGCCGCGCGGGCCGGGCGCGGGCGCGGGCGCGGGCUCCGGCGGCGGCGGGCUCCGGCUCAGGCAGCGGCCGCGGCGGCCGCAUGCAAAUCGGCUCCCUGCCCCCACGCCCCUCCCCCCGAGAGGCGGGCGGCGGGCGGGGAGGAGAGGACGGGGGAGGGGACGCGGGCCGGGGAGGGGGCGGCGAGGCGCUCGGUAGAGGGGCGAGACCGGCCCGGGCGCCGCCGGCCGGUCAGGGAGCGGCGGGGCGAGUCUGCAGCCCGCCUAGGUGCCUCCUGCGCGACGGGGUCCCUCGGCUGCCGGUGGUGCUGAUGCUGCCGCUGAUGCUGAUGCUGAUGCUGCCUUGGAUGCUGAUGCUGAUGCUGCCGCUGGUGCUGAUGCUGCCCGCCGCCUGUGUGCGCUCCAGCCUCGCCGGCAUCCUCGGUGCGCCGCGCCCGGCCCGCUCCCUGGGGCGUCCGGCCGCACCGCCGCUGUCCCCACCUCAAAUCCUCACGUCACCCUCAGGGGCCCCGGCGAGCAGUAGCUGGAUGCUGGGCGCCGACAAGCCGCAUUCCGACACAGGGGGCCAACCUAGCAGCCCCUCGCCCAGCCCGUACGCAGCGUUGCACGGUGGUUACUCGGCGAGCCUGGGCGAUGAGGUGCACCUGUUCUUCAGCCGGCCCGCAGCCAACCCUCGGUCAACGCUCUCCGGGAGAAACCAAUCCUAGAGCAGCGCGGAGGGCGAGCGACCGGGCUCGCCUCGCUCCCGCCGCCCGCGGCUCUGCGCCGCUACUGCCGCCGCCACCGUGAGUCAAACUCCAGCAAGCUACCCCGCCGCUCAGGAGCGGGGUACCCCGGGGCGCACCCCGACCAGCACGCAGAGGAUACCAAACAGCUCCGGUGACGCUGCCUGGCCGACCCGGGCUAGCAAAAAUGGGAGAUAGCGACAGGGGUCCCGGACGUCGUGACCGCUGCUCCAAGCGUUUUCUUGCACUCAACCAGGCGGCUUCGGGUGUAUGUGUGUGUGUGUUUGUGUGUAGAGUCGCCGCGGACAGGGUGGGAUUCGGGCAGAGUUGCGCCUCCCACCAACACCUAAUGGUGCUGUCUUACUGUGUGCUAGAUAAAUAAAUGAUCCAAGCGGACCCCCGUUGGAGAAGUACGGCACUAGGAGCUCUGUGGAGCAGCCGUGAACAGGUCUCUGGUGUGGAUCCUGCGGGGUCAGACACUGAAGCUGCUGGGAGAAUGCGCACGGGCGUGUUAGGUGGGAGGGCGCCUCUGAGCUCCCCUGCCCCGCCGCGGUGCGGCUGGACAGAGAACCACCUUUGCUUUGGAGUUGCUGAGAGCUGCUGCUGAAGCAGACGACCUUUCUGUGAUCAGAUCUCGAAGCCAUUAACUUACCUUUUAAAAAGUAUUAUCUUUAAAUGUAGGUACGCCCUGGGAAACAAGGCGAGAGGCGAAGAUGAGAAAAGAUGCUGGCUAGUCUCUUAAAUUUCAUAGCCGGUUUCUUCCUUUUGGUAGAGGGAGAUCAGAGUAUUUCCAAUCUCGGGUACACUGUGGUACCUCCCUGAGGACCAGGUAUAGCACAGACAGGAAACGGGCAAGAGCCAGGGCUACCAUGAUAUACAUACGCUGGUCCUGUAAAGCGAUGCUUCCCACCCUACCCAGAUUUCUCGGCUAAGGUAGAAACGAAAGAGGCUUUUUUUUUUCAUUUAUUUAUUUUUUACAAGUGUCAUGCAAGGAUGGGAGAGUGAGAAUGGCAUCUUUCUUAUCACGUACCUCCCAGGGCUGUCCGAGAAUGCAGUCAGCAUUGUCCUGUCCUGUGAUGCACUCCACAAAGACGAAGUUUCCUAGGUAUCCAUUUUAUUCACACGUUAAGAGCAAAAGAAAAUGCUAAUCUAAGGAGAUGGCAGAGUGCAGAGAAUACGUUCAAACAGGAAGCCCUUGAGGGAUUGUGCCUACCAGAGUUCUUUGCACAGGCGUGAUUAAUAAAUUACUUUUUGAUGGCAGUAAUGUGGCUGUCACCUCUUUCAGCUCUAACACUGAGACUUACCCCAUAGGAAAAUCUUUGGUUUUUAAUUUAACCAAACAUGCCCUAACCCAGUAGGGCAGAAUGAUGCCUUCCAGAAUUUCAAUGGGGAAACAAGCAAAACAAACAAACAACAACAAAACAUUAAAUCCAUACUCCUUUGGCUUUCUGAUGCAAGACACAAGUAAAAAUGUCUUAACCUUCUGUGGGCUGACAGGCAUCUGCUCCGUGCCUUCUCAUGCAGUAAAAUAAAAGCAUUUCCACAUUGUAGUAGGUGCUGCUGUUGACACUUGAGAAAGAAGAUUUCUUUUCCACACUUAGUUCAUCAUCAUCCCUCCCAAAUCCCACCCCCAGUAUUCUGUGUUCUUUGCCUUCUUCCUCCCCCACUUGAAAGGUUCCAAAACACAAAGAGAGGUGCUGCAAUGCUUUUGUGGAUAAAUGCUCUCUUCCUGAAACCACAAUUGGACAGUAUCCACAUUCUCUUCAUUGCUUCCCAAAGCCUUCUUCCAAAUUCCCUCUCCUUCUCCUUUCUACUUCGAUUUAAAAGCUUAUUCGUGGUUCCCUAUUGAGUUCCGGUUUUCCUGGAACACCAGUCAUGGUAUAUCAGCUGCUCUUACAAGGAAACAUCUCCAGAGGGAGCAGGGCCAGCAGAGCCCAUUGCUUUGAUGAUUUUCUAUUAAGGAUCAGGGGGUAACAGACCAUCCAGAGAAAUUUAGUAGAAGUAACUGUUCUCCCUGCAAAGCUGUGUUGUAAAGCUUCCUGGUAGUCGGUGGUAACCAUUGGACUGAAACUGGGGAAACACUGUUCAUGAUAGAGUCAAGGUCCAGGGCUGGGCCCUCUUGCUGAUAAAGACCAGACAGCAUUCCAUUAACAGGCAUGACUUAGAAGCACCAAAGAAGCAAGCCUCUGGGAAUGUCUGUGAGUGAUUUUCUAGAUUAGGCUAGUUGAGGAAGAGAGACUCACUUAAACUAUAGUCCAUGGGCUUGGCUACUUCUGAAUAACAUGGAAAAAUGUGGCUAAGCACCAGAUUGUCUCCCUGUGUUUCCUGUGGCUGCAAUGGGAGCUGCUGUUGCCAUACUCUGCCACCAUACCUGCCUUACCAUAGGAACCAUGUCCCCAAGCUGUGAGCAAGAACCAAACUUUUCUUCCUUCCUUAAGUUACUUUAGCCAGCUAUUUCAUCACAACAGUGAGACCUGUAACUAAGACACUUACCCGCUAAGGAGCAUCCUGGUUCUAAUGACUCAUCCCUUACUGAGAACAAACACUGUAGGAGGUACAUAUUAAGACACAGUUUCAAGUUAGAGCUAUGCCCCUGGUAAUGAUGAAAUCCCUUUGGACCGGUUUUUCUAAACUAUGAAAUGGAGCUGAUGAGAACCUUAUUAAAAAUCCUUAAUCCAAAAAAAAAAAAAAAAAA